Molecule: ribosomal RNA, 253 nt
Filed under: uncultured bacterium
Lineage: Bacteria
Description: partial 16S ribosomal RNA
Rfam family: Bacterial small subunit ribosomal RNA
Source: RNAcentral
UACGUAGGGACCGAGCGUUGUCCGGAAUCAUUGGGCGUAAAGAGCGUGUAGGCGGCCAGGUAGGUCUGCUGUGAAAACUCGAGGCUCAACCUCGAGACGUCGGCGGAAACCAUCUGGCUAGAGUCCGGAAGAGGAGAGUGGAAUUCCUGGUGUAGCGGUGAAAUGCGCAGAUAUCAGGAAGAACACCCGUGGCGAAGGCGGCUCUCUGGGACGGUACUGACGCUGAGGCGCGAAAGCGUGGGGAGCGAACAGG